Ochotona princeps (American pika) is the source of this 126-nucleotide small nucleolar RNA. RefSeq annotates it as small nucleolar RNA SNORA68. The record is from RefSeq and is a predicted model, not a curated record. Lineage: Eukaryota; Metazoa; Chordata; Mammalia; Lagomorpha; Ochotonidae. The transcript has a single exon.
CAAACAUUUAAGAGGAAAUAGUGUAAAAUUCUACACUCUGAGCACAGGUGCCACAGCGAGCCGACCCUGUCGCUUUCCUGGGGCUGUGUCCGUGCCCCCUGAAGUGAAUGUGGAGGUCCUACACCC